UACGUAGGUGGCAAGCGUUGUCCGGAUUUACUGGGCGUAAAGGGUGUGUAGGUGGCGCGCUAAGUCGGGUGUGAAAUUUCGGAGCUUAACUCCGAAACUGCAUUCGAUACUGGCGUGCUUGAGGACUGGAGAGGAGACUGGAAUUCAUGGUGUAGCAGUGAAAUGCGUAGAGAUCGUGAGGAAGACCAGUGGCGAAGGCGGGUCUCUGGACAGUUCCUGACACUGAGACACGAAGGCCAGGGGAGCAAACGGG
RNAcentral lists this ribosomal RNA (253 nucleotides) under uncultured bacterium. Its description in RNAcentral is "partial 16S ribosomal RNA". It matches the Rfam family "Bacterial small subunit ribosomal RNA", at positions 524 to 776 of the family's 1533-position model. The record is from RNAcentral.